RNAcentral lists this ribosomal RNA (463 nucleotides) under uncultured bacterium. RNAcentral's name for it is "partial 16S ribosomal RNA". It matches the Rfam family "Bacterial small subunit ribosomal RNA", at positions 28 to 507 of the family's 1533-position model. The record is from RNAcentral.
GAUGAACGCUGACGGAAUGCUUAACACAUGCAAGUCGAUGGGGAAGUGGUGCUUGCACCAUGGUAACCAUGGCGGACGGGUGAGUAACGCGUAAGGAACUUGCCUGCGGGACUGGGAUAACAGCAGGAAACUGCUGAUAAUACCGGAUAAGGUCAUUAAGCUGCAUAGCUUAGUGAUGAAAGGAGACGCCUGCGGAGAGCCUUGCGUCCUAUUAGCUAGUUGGAGGGGUAACGGCCCACCAAGGCGAAGAUAGGUAGCCGGCCUGAGAGGGUGGACGGCCACAAGGGGACUGAGAUACGGCCCUUACUCCUACGGGAGGCAGCAGUGGGGAAUAUUGGACAAUGGGGGCAACCCUGACCCAGCAAUUCUGUGUGCACGAAGACGGUUUUCGGAUUGUAAAGUGCUUUCAGCAGGGAAGAAGGAAGUGACGGUACCUGCAGAAGAAGCGACGGCUAAAUACGUG